Equus asinus (donkey) is the source of this 123-nucleotide small nuclear RNA. Its record names the gene U2. It matches the Rfam family "U2 spliceosomal RNA". From Rfam's summary of the family: U2 is a small nuclear RNA (snRNA) component of the spliceosome (involved in pre-mRNA splicing). Complementary binding between U2 snRNA (in an area lying towards the 5' end but 3' to hairpin I) and the branchpoint sequence (BPS) of the intron results the bulging out of an unpaired adenosine, on the BPS, which initiates a nucleophilic attack at the intronic 5' splice site, thus starting the first of two transesterification reactions that mediate splicing. NCBI's taxonomy places the organism in Eukaryota, Metazoa, Chordata, Mammalia, Perissodactyla, Equidae. The record is from Ensembl.
CUUGCUUCUUGGCCUUUUGGCUAAGAUCAAGUGUCGUAUCUGUUCUUAGCAGUUUGAAUAAACCAUAGAUCAAAGGCAAAUAAAAAAAUACACUGAACUGAGUGAAAUAAAAGUACAACAUAU